Cricetulus griseus (Chinese hamster) is the source of this 366-nucleotide non-coding RNA. Lineage: Eukaryota; Metazoa; Chordata; Mammalia; Rodentia; Cricetidae. The record is from RefSeq and is a predicted model, not a curated record.
AAUUAAGUCCUUCUGGGUCCUAAUUUGCUCACUACCUGGAAGCAAUCCAGUCCCUCCUUGCUAAAUCCCACCAGGCUGCUCUUCAUUCCCUGAAGUAGGACUGUUUCCUCUUUUCGUUCCUACACCUUGUGCUUCCUGUGUGUGGAGAAACUGUGGUCAGUCAACUUCCUGUCUGUGCUUUGCCUGUUCCAUCAUGUUGGACUCCAUCCCUCUGCAACAUGCACUGAGAUGUAAGCCCACAACUGCAUGAUUCCAAGCUCACAUCCACAAGGAUUCCCUGCAGUGCUGCCUCUCCAGCCACAACAGAAUACACCCUAGACUGCAAGCCAGGAUGAGUCUGUUCGCCCUCAAGUGUUCUACCACAGC